UUACCUGGAUGUUGGGGAAGCUUGGGAGGAUUGAUGGGGACCCGGCGUUGAGAGGAAAGAGGAUAUGGGCUACGUGGGAGUACGUGAGCUCAGUUGGAGGUGGGCAACAAGGGAUGAUGGGUUUAUACGUGAUUUGUGGAUGUGGAAAACUUGCUGUGCACCAUCGCCCGAUCGCCACCUAGUACCACAUGUGAUGGGUACCCCAUAAUCCUACAAGCUUGAGAUGAGGAAGUGUAGAAGGG
This 242-nucleotide long non-coding RNA is filed under the name Glycine max (soybean). RNAcentral describes it as "long non-coding RNA (GMAX_LNC004364)". Lineage: Eukaryota; Viridiplantae; Streptophyta; Magnoliopsida; Fabales; Fabaceae. The record is from RNAcentral.